GACGAACGCUGGCGGUGUGCUUAACACAUGCAAGUCGAGCGGUAAGGCCCUUUCGGGGGUACACGAGCGGCGAACGGGUGAGUAACACGUGGGUGACCUGCCCUCAGCUCUGGGAUAAGCCUGGGAAACCGGGUCUAAUACUGGAUAUGACUCCAUGACGCAUGUUGUGGGGUGGAAAGCCUUGUGCGGCUGAGGAUGGGCCCGCGGCCUAUCAGCUUGUUGGUGGGGUGAUGGCCUACCAAGGCGACGACGGGUAGCCGGCCUGAGAGGGCGACCGGCCACACUGGGACUGAGACACGGCCCAGACUCCUACGGGAGGCAGCAGUGGGGAAUCUUGCGCAAUGGGCGAAAGCCUGACGCAGCGACGGCGCGUGAGGGAUGACGGCCU
RNAcentral lists this ribosomal RNA (388 nucleotides) under uncultured bacterium. Its description in RNAcentral is "bacterial SSU rRNA". It matches the Rfam family "Bacterial small subunit ribosomal RNA", at positions 28 to 417 of the family's 1533-position model. The record is from RNAcentral.